Molecule: long non-coding RNA, 505 nt
Organism: Cornus florida
Lineage: Eukaryota; Viridiplantae; Streptophyta; Magnoliopsida; Cornales; Cornaceae
Exons: 2
Source: RefSeq, a predicted model, not a curated record
UUUCUCUCCCUCUCAUUCCGGUCGAAGAGAAAAUAAAACACUUCGAAGACGAACAACCAAUAUUGAAUCGAUCGAGCAGAAGCAGUUUCACAAAACACAUACGAUUUUCUAUUCAGCGCUCUCUUAGUCUCACAUCGAGUCCAAAUUUAUUAAGAGAUUCAGGCUGAAUAAUAAACUCUACAUCCAUCAGAUCAGAGAUGGAAGAGCCUCUAAUUGGACUUCUGUCACCCUAUGGGGCUGGUCCAUCAAAGAGUUCGAUGAAUGAAUCAAUGGAAGUGGUUACGGAUAUCAAUCAGGACAAUGGGUUCACAUUGCAUACCAUUUCAGCGAUGAAAUGUUCGAUGUGGAAGAGCUACUUGGGGAUGAAAUGUUCGAUGUGGAAGAGCUACUUGGGGUUCUAACUUCUCCCUAUUCUGGUCCACUGUCCAACUAUGACAAUGUGGGGCAUGAAAUGUUGGAAUUUAUAUAUAUAUAUUUAAAUAAUAAAAAUUAUUUUAUGGUCCUA